AGGGGACGAAAGCCGCAAGGUUUGACGGUACCUUCCAAGAAAGCACCGGCUAACUCCGUGCCAGCAGCCGCGGUAAUACGGAGGGUGCAAGCGUUGCUCGGAAUUACUGGGCGUAAAGCGUACGCAGGCGGCUUUGUAAGUCGGGUGUGAAAGCCCCAGGCUCAACCUGGGAACUGCAUCCGAUACUGCAAGGCUUGAGUUCGGGAGAGGGAAGUGGAAUUCCUGGUGUAGAGGUGAAAUUCGUUGAUAUCAGGAGGAACACCGGCGGCGAAAAGCGGCUUCCUGGCCCGAUACUGACGCUCAUGUACGAAAGCGUGGGGAGCAAAACAGGAUUAGAUACCCUGGUAGUCCACGCCGUAAACGAUGAGUGCUAGAUGUUGGAGGUAUUCACCCCUUCAGUGUCGAAGCUAACGCAUUAAGCACUCCGCCUGGGGAGUACGGCCGCAAGGUUAAAACUCAAAGGAAUUGACGGGG
Molecule: ribosomal RNA, 474 nt
Filed under: uncultured bacterium
Lineage: Bacteria
Description: bacterial SSU rRNA
Rfam family: Bacterial small subunit ribosomal RNA
Source: RNAcentral